AGUUGGUCCACUAUAGGAGUAGGGUGCAUAUCAAGAUAGAAUCUAUCGAUCUUGAUAGAAAGGAGUAGUCUUAUGGGAUUUGAGAAGCUAAGUCCGAGAGUCUGUGGCCACUGUAGUGUGAUUAUUGGAAAAGAGUUUCCAUAAGGAUCACAAUUGGACUUGAGCUGAUCGAAUCUAUCAUAUGACUAAUGAUGAGGUUUGAUGAUUUAUUCAUGACCUGCCAUCU
Molecule: long non-coding RNA, 226 nt
Filed under: Elaeis guineensis (African oil palm)
Lineage: Eukaryota; Viridiplantae; Streptophyta; Magnoliopsida; Arecales; Arecaceae
Description: long non-coding RNA (EGUI_LNC080005)
Source: RNAcentral